This 462-nucleotide ribosomal RNA is filed under the name Streptococcus mitis. Its description in RNAcentral is "bacterial SSU rRNA". It matches the Rfam family "Bacterial small subunit ribosomal RNA", at positions 28 to 474 of the family's 1533-position model. Lineage: Bacteria; Bacillati; Bacillota; Bacilli; Lactobacillales; Streptococcaceae. The record is from RNAcentral.
GACGAACGCUGGCGGCGUGCCUAAUACAUGCAAGUAGAACGCUGAAGGAGGAGCUUGCUCUUCUGGAUGAGUUGCGAACGGGUGAGUAACGCGUAGGUAACCUGCCUGGUAGCGGGGGAUAACUAUUGGAAACGAUAGCUAAUACCGCAUAAGAGUAGAUGUCGCAUGACAUUUGCUUAAAAGGUGCAAUUGCAUCACUACCAGAUGGACCUGCGUUGUAUUAGCUAGUUGGUGAGGUAACGGCUCACCAAGGCAACGAUACAUAGCCGACCUGAGAGGGUGAUCGGCCACACUGGGACUGAGACACGGCCCAGACUCCUACGGGAGGCAGCAGUAGGGAAUCUUCGGCAAUGGACGGAAGUCUGACCGAGCAACGCCGCGUGAGUGAAGAAGGUUUUCGGAUCGUAAAGCUCUGUUGUAAGAGAAGAACGAGUGUGAGAGUGGAAAGUUCACAUUGAGACG